This 375-nucleotide ribosomal RNA is filed under the name uncultured organism. RNAcentral's name for it is "partial 16S ribosomal RNA". It matches the Rfam family "Bacterial small subunit ribosomal RNA", at positions 527 to 896 of the family's 1533-position model. The record is from RNAcentral.
GUAGGUGGCAAGCGUUGUCCGGAAUUAUUGGGCGUAAAGCGCGCGCAGGCGGUCCUUUAAGUCUGAUGUGAAAGCCCACGGCUCAACCGUGGAGGGUCAUUGGAAACUGGGGGACUUGAGUACAGAAGAGGAAAGCGGAAUUCCAAGUGUAGCGGUGAAAUGCGUAGAGAUUUGGAGGAACACCAGUGGCGAAGGCGGCUUUCUGGUCUGUAACUGACGCUGAGGCGCGAAAGCGUGGGGAGCAAACAGGGAUUAGAUACCCUGGUAGUCCACGCCGUAAACGAUGAGUGCUAAGUGUUAGGGGGGGUUUCCCGCCCCCUUAGUGCUGCAGCUAACGCAUUAAGCACUCCGCCUGGGGAUACGGCCGCAAGGCUG